GCAGUGUUGACAGAGAGGUAAUGUGUCCGGUUGCUAACCGGUAGCCAUCCGAAAGGGUGAAUAGGUUCGAUUCCUAUACACUGCG
RNAcentral lists this transfer RNA (85 nucleotides) under Bacteriophage sp. RNAcentral's name for it is "tRNA-Ser". It matches the Rfam family "tRNA". From Rfam's summary of the family: Transfer RNA (tRNA) molecules are approximately 80 nucleotides in length. Their secondary structure includes four short double-helical elements and three loops (D, anti-codon, and T loops). Further hydrogen bonds mediate the characteristic L-shaped molecular structure. tRNAs have two regions of fundamental functional importance: the anti-codon, which is responsible for specific mRNA codon recognition, and the 3' end, to which the tRNAs corresponding amino acid is attached (by aminoacyl-tRNA synthetases). tRNAs cope with the degeneracy of the genetic code in two manners: having more than one tRNA (with a specific anti-codon) for a particular amino acid; and 'wobble' base-pairing, i.e. permitting non-standard base-pairing at the 3rd anti-codon position. The record is from RNAcentral.